CUCCAACGCGUACCAACCCCUAAACCCUACACGUCUUCCUUCCUAUUGCUUUUCUCUCUCUAGCUUCUUCUCUCUCUCCAACUUUAGUAAUCCUCUUAACUACUAUGCCUAUGCGCCAUGGCAUUCAAUGACUUUGGGUUGGGGACCACCUCCUGAAGGGACUUAUAAGCUUAAACCUGGGCUCUGCUUGGUAAUGAUGGAUGGAAAAGGCUUGUUAUCAUUGUUCAAUACCAGAAUGGUGCAGUUAUAUUCACAGGUAUGUACAAAAUUCCUACUCAGCUUUCAACCAAAAUUGCUAAGGUACAAGUACUAUAUGGUCUACAAGUACCACAACAAUUGCCAUUCGAUAUCUAGUGCUCAAGGAUGAUUUACAAUCUAUUUUAAAUUUCUAAUGUUCAUCCCUCUAUCCAAUUCUGAAUUUGGAAUGUUGGUGGAAGAUGUUUUUUCUUUGAUGCAUACUUUUGUUUCAUUUUGGUCUUUUUGGUUCCUAGAAUUUGCAAUGAUAUUGUUUAUAACCUGCGCUCUACUUGGU
RNAcentral lists this long non-coding RNA (532 nucleotides) under Carica papaya (papaya). RNAcentral's name for it is "long non-coding RNA (CPAP_LNC007620)". Lineage: Eukaryota; Viridiplantae; Streptophyta; Magnoliopsida; Brassicales; Caricaceae. The record is from RNAcentral.